GAUGAAGAACGUAGCGAAAUGCGAUAAGUAAUGUGAAUUGCAGAAUUCAGUGAAUCAUCGAAUUUUUGAACGCACCUUGCGCCCCUUGGUAUUCCGAGGAGCAUGCCUGUUUGAGUGUCAGUAAAUUCUCAAACCCUUCCAGCUUUUUGUAGUUGGCUCUGGGUCUUGGAUGUGGAGGUGUUGCAGGCCUUUUUGAGGUCAGCUCCCCUGAAAUGCAUUAGCAGAACCGUUUGCAAUCCAUCACAGGUGUGAUAAUUAUCUACGCCCGUGGGUUGCUCUCUGUCACUGUUCAGCUUACAAUUGUCCCAUUCUUGUGGACCAACUAUUGCUGAUUCUUUGACCUCAAAUCAGGUAGGACUACCCGCUGAACUUAAGCAUAUCAAUAAGCGGAGGA
This 394-nucleotide unclassified non-coding RNA is filed under the name soil metagenome. RNAcentral describes it as "partial contains 5.8S ribosomal RNA, internal transcribed spacer 2, and large subunit ribosomal RNA". The stretch from base 1 to 120 matches the Rfam family "5.8S ribosomal RNA", at positions 35 to 154 of the family's 154-position model. The record is from RNAcentral.